ACCGGCGCACGGGUGAGUAACACGUAUCCAACCUGCCGUCUACUCUUGGACAGCCUUCUGAAAGGAAGAUUAAUACAAGAUGGCAUCAUGAGUCCGCAUGUUCACAUGAUUAAAGGUAUUCCGGUAGACGAUGGGGAGUGCGUUCCAUUAGAUAGUAGGCGGGGUAACGGCCCACCUAGUCUUCGAUGGAUAGGGGUUCUGAGAGGAAGGUCCCCCCACAUUGGAACUGAGACACGGUCCAAACUCCUACGGGAGGCAGCAUG
This 263-nucleotide ribosomal RNA is filed under the name uncultured bacterium. RNAcentral's name for it is "partial 16S ribosomal RNA". It matches the Rfam family "Bacterial small subunit ribosomal RNA", at positions 94 to 353 of the family's 1533-position model. The record is from RNAcentral.